RNAcentral lists this ribosomal RNA (275 nucleotides) under uncultured prokaryote. RNAcentral's name for it is "partial 16S ribosomal RNA". It matches the Rfam family "Bacterial small subunit ribosomal RNA", at positions 524 to 800 of the family's 1533-position model. The record is from RNAcentral.
UACGUAGGGGCUAGCGUUAUCCGGAAUUACUGGGCGUAAAGGGUGCGUAGGCGGUCUUUCAAGCCAGAAGUGAAAGGCUACGGCUCAACCGUAGUAAGCUUUUGGAACUGUAAGACUUGAGUGCAGGAGAGGAGAGUGGAAUUCCUAGUGUAGCGGUGAAAUGCGUAGAUAUUAGGAGGAACACCAGUUGCGAAGGCGGCUCUCUGGACUGUAACUGACACUGAGGCACGAAAGCGUGGGGAGCAAACAGGAUUAGAUACCCGCGUAGUCCCUGA